RNAcentral lists this ribosomal RNA (697 nucleotides) under uncultured bacterium. RNAcentral describes it as "bacterial SSU rRNA". It matches the Rfam family "Bacterial small subunit ribosomal RNA", at positions 8 to 698 of the family's 1533-position model. The record is from RNAcentral.
AGAGUUUGAUCCUGGCUCAGAUUGAACGCUGGCGGCAUGCUUUACACAUGCAAGUCGAACGGCAGCGCGGGGUAACCUGGCGGCGAGUGGCGAACGGGUGAGUAAUAUAUCGGAACGUACCCAAGAGUGGGGGAUAACGUAGCGAAAGUUACGCUAAUACCGCAUACGAUCUAUGGAUGAAGGUGGGGGAUUCGCAAGAACCUCAUGCUCCUGGAGCGGCCGAUAUCUGAUUAGCUAGUUGGUGAGGUAAAGGCUCACCAAGGCGACGAUCAGUAGCUGGUCUGAGAGGACGACCACCCACACUGGAACUGAGACACGGUCCACACUCCUACGGGAGGCAGCAGUGGGGAAUUUUGGACAAUGGGCGCAAGCCUGAUCCAGCAAUGCCGCGUGAGUGAAGAAGGCCUUCGGGUUGUAAAGCUCUUUUGUCAGGGAAGAAACGGUUGAGGCUAAUAUCCUCGGCUAAUGACGGUACCUGAAAAAUAAGCACCGGCUAACUACGUGCCAGCAGCCGCGGUAAUACGUAGGGUGCAAGCGUUAAUCGGAAUUACUGGGCGUAAAGCGUGCGCAGGCGUUUUUUGUAUGUCUGUCGUGAAAGCCCCGGGCUCAACCUGAGAAUUGCGAUGGAGACUGCAACGCUUGAAUCUGGCAGAGGGGGGGUAUAAUUCCACGUGUAGCAGUGAAAUGCGUAGAGAUG